AUGGACAAUUCCCUAUUUUUGACAGAAAAAAAUAAUAACAUGAUUGAAGUACUCUUUUCCAUUAUCAGACCUAAGUCUUUUGAUGUUUACUCCAAAUUAAUUUUUAAUCAUGUAGAAAAACUUUGGGAAAACAGUACAGACGUCAGACUUGUUUUAGAGUAA
Vicia faba (fava bean) is the source of this 162-nucleotide non-coding RNA. The record is from the annotation of a GenBank genome assembly. Lineage: Eukaryota; Viridiplantae; Streptophyta; Magnoliopsida; Fabales; Fabaceae.